AACACAUGCAAGUCGAACGAGGAAUGUUAAAGCUUGCUUUGACAUUCGAGUGGCGGACGGGUGAGUAACGCGUGAGGAACCUGUCUUCACAGGGGGAUAACGUCCGAAAGGGACGCUAAUACCGCAUGAGACCACAGUGCCGCAUGGCACAGGGGUCAAAGGAGAGAUCCGGUGAAAGGUGGCCUCGCGUCCCAUUAGGCAGUUGGCGGGGUAACGGCCCACCAAACCUGCGAUGGGUAGCCGACCUGAGAGGGUGAUCGGCCACAUUGGAACUGAGACACGGUCCAAACUCCUACGGGAGGCAGCAGUGGGGAAUAUUGGGCAAUGGGCGCAAAGCCUGACCCAGCAACGCCGCGUGAGGGAAGAAGGUUUUCGGAUUGUAAACCUCUGUCCCAGGAGACGAGGAAGAGACGGUAUCCUGGGAGGAAGCCCCGGCUAACUACGUGCCAGCCGCCGC
RNAcentral lists this ribosomal RNA (457 nucleotides) under uncultured bacterium. Its description in RNAcentral is "bacterial SSU rRNA". It matches the Rfam family "Bacterial small subunit ribosomal RNA", at positions 50 to 518 of the family's 1533-position model. The record is from RNAcentral.